RNAcentral lists this long non-coding RNA (29876 nucleotides) under Daucus carota (carrot). RNAcentral's name for it is "long non-coding RNA (DCAR_LNC006510)". The record is from RNAcentral. Lineage: Eukaryota; Viridiplantae; Streptophyta; Magnoliopsida; Apiales; Apiaceae.
CAGAAUCCUUAGCAUCCGACCAACCUUUGAAAAGCUUUUCAAAUGUUGAUAAAGGACGGUCAGGAGACAUUAAUUCACCUUUAGAACUACAAUUGGGGAGAUUCAGUUUAGCAUUUCGACCUCUUAACCUAAAUGCCGCAUGAUCAAACGCCAAAGCAGCUUCCUCUUCCGUGUCAUAGGUGCCUAGAUAGACAUCACGAAUCUUGGCUACCCAUGGCCCCCCAUAGAACUCACUCCUACUCACACUCAUGUAUUUGCUUUUUGGUGCAGAGCUUGUCGACCGUGGUAUCCAUGGUUCCUGUUAUUUUACACCAACUAUGAGAAAGAUUGUAGAAGGGGGGGGGUUGAAUACAAUCUUUUACAAAUUUAAAAGAUUCAAGAACAAUACACUAAGAACACAAUAAACAGAAAAACACCAAGUAUUAAAAAUACGGGUGGAUUGAAUGAUCCACCCGUGAGAUUUUAUAUAGAAGAAUCUGUGGAUUGUUUUACAAUUCGCACAGCUGCUGGUUCAUCACUCAAACAAGUUCUAACUCUCAGAUUUUUCUCUCAAGUAAUUUGAACAAGUUCAACUGAUGCUACUAACUUGGUUAUAUACUCCAAGUUUUACAAAGCUUUUAGCUAGAUUACAAAAUGCACUCUAAUCUAAAAACAAUGCUGCACAACUUUGUCUUAUGCAUGCUUUCUGAGAUGUCUUCAUCUUUGACCAUCACCUUGAUUUGAUCCAGAUUGCACUGCAUGAGAUAAGUAUGUUUCUGCUUCUUCUUUAUUUUCCUAAUUAGGCUUCCAUGUCUAUUUUAGUGUAAUUCGAUCCAUGUGAUUUGUCAGACUUAAGCUCUAGUCACUUUCAACUGCUCUUUGCUUCAUCAGUUGAAAGUUCUGGUUGCUUUCAACUGCUCUUGACUUUAUCAGUUGAAUGCCUGGCUCAUCAGUUGAAUGAAUUACAAACUCCAUCAGUUGAAUGCUGUUCCAGUCUCAUCAGUUGAAUUCCUCAGCAUUAUCCGUUGAACACUUUGUCUUCAGUUGAAUGCUUGAUUUUCAUCAGUUGAAACAUCAUCCAGUCUUUAUCAGUUGAACAGUUACAUCUCAUCAGUUGAAUAUCCUUCACUUAGAUAAAAUUACAUGGCAUUGGAUAUUUACAAUUAGCCAUCCUAUUCUACCCAUCCGUUGAUAAUUCCCAAAGACAAGAAAUGUAACAAUUACAACUGAAAUUUGAUAAAGAUUCUAAGUAAGACAUGUUACAAAAUGUUUAUGUUAUCAUCAAAAAUUAUUGAUUCCUAACAAUCUCCCCCAAUUUAUGACUGGAGAAGAUGCAGACAUAAAUUCUACACUUGAUGAUAACAAAACAUUAAUAAAAUAAAAUGCAGAAUUUAAAUACAAGAGUUAGAAAAGAUUACAGAUGAUUAUGCUCCUCUAGACUGAGCAGUUACUUGUUCCUAGAAGAUCUUCUUCUUCUGGACUUAAGUUUUUCUUCAAGAAUAUUAAUCUGCUUCUGAAAGAUCCUGUAGAACCAUUCUUCAUCACUAUCUUGUCUGUUGAGCUUGGAUUGAAGAGUCUAAAGUAGGAGGAAUUUGACUGAUCAAUUCUGCAGGAGUUGGUAAUUCUUUCUCCCCCUUUUUGUUAGCAGCAAGUGUAAGGGAUGGACUGGGAAGAGAAGCACCAGAGGCAAGAAGAAGAUGUUGAAGGAGUCCAGUCUGAAUUCUUUGAUGCUGCAACAUCUCAUCCAUUCUAGAGUUUAAGAUAUAUACAUUGCCUUCCAGAGCUUCUACUUGCUUUUCCAAUUGCAGUUGUUUUUGCUCAGAACCAGAAAUAGCUGAUUUGACCUGAGCUGGAAGCUUUUCAUCAAUUUGUUUGGUCAGAUCAGUCUUAACAGAGGCAAUGAGACAAUUGAGAUGCUCUAUCUCUUUCUGAAAGUGGAGAGAUUGAUAUUUGUGAAGCUUGAGGUUGUCCAGAGCUUGACUGGCAAUGGUGGCAGAGAUGGCUUGUAGAAGAUGUAGAUGAUUUCUUGCCCAAUUGAGCCACUCUCUUUGCAAUGGAGUCCAAUUCUUUCAUCCUUUCAAUCUUUUGCUUUUCCCUUUCAGUGUGGAAAGGAGGAGGAAUUUGGCUGAUCAAUUCUGCAGGAGUUGGUAAUUCUUUCUCCCCCUUUUUGUUAGCAGCAAGUGUAGGGGAUGGACUGGGAAGUGAAACACCAGAGGCAAGAAGAAGAUGUUGAAGCAGUCCAGUCUGAAUUCUUUGAUGCUGCAACAUCUCAUCCAUUCUAGAGUUUAAGGUGUAGACAUUUCCUUCCAGAGCUUCCACUUGCUUCUCCAAUUGUAGUUGUUUUUGCUCAGAUGCAGAAAGAGCUGAUUUGACCUGAGCUGGAAGCUUUUCAUCAAUUUGCUUGGUCAGAUCAGUCUUAACAGAGGCAAUAAGAGAAUUGAGAUGCUCUAUCUCAUGCUGAAAAUGGAGAGAUUGAAACUUGUGAAGCUUGAGAUUUUCCAGAGCUUGACUGGCAAUGGUGGCAGAGAUGACUGGAGAAGAGGAUGAGCUUCCAGGUUGUGAUUGAAGAGGGAGUUGGUAAUUCUUUCUCCCCCUUUCUGUUAGCAGCAAGUGUAGGGGAUGAACUGAGAAGAGAAACACCAGAGGCAAGAAGAAGAUGUUGAAGAAGUCCAGUCUGAAUUCUUUGAUGCUGCAACAUCUCAUCCAUUCUAGAGUUUAAGAUAUAGACAUUUCCUUCCAGAGCUUCCACUUGCUUUUCCAAUUGUAGUUGUUUUUGCUCAGAUGCAGAAAGAGCUGAUUUGACCUGAGCUGGAAGCUUUUCAUCAAUUUGUUUGGUCAGAUCAGUCUUAACAGAGGCAAUAAGAGAAUUGAGAUGCUCUAUCUCAUGCUGAAAAUGGAGAGAUUGAAACUUGUGAAGCUUGAGAUUGUCUAGUGCUUGACUGGCAAUGGUGGCAGAGAUGACUGGAGAAGAGGAUGAGCUUCCAGGUUGUGAUUGAAGAAUGGUGGAGGCUUGCCUUUCCAGCUCCAUGCUAACAACAGUUGCAUUGGCAGACUGCAUGGAGAGCCAUGAAGGUAGAGAAGUUGUAGGUUGUUCAACAAGGGAUUCCUCAAGAGCAUCAUUGAGGUCUUCAUCACUAUCAUCAUAAUGAAAAUCAUCUCCAGCAUUGGCAGGCAGAGCUGUAAAUGCCUCCUUUGCUCUAAGCAUUGAAGAUGUAGUGUGAAUCAGAUUGAGGUGCCUCUCAGCUGCUUGAUUGUCCAAUCUGGCAAAGUCUUGAAUGGAGGACAUCCCAUGAGUAAAAGUCUCAGGGUCUAGUGAAACACCAUCCAAUAUGGAUCUGUAUUCAGCUUGAAACUCUUGUUCACUAAACCCUUCAUUGACACCUGCAUUUCUCUCAAUUUCUCUCUUUUCUUGCAUCAAGGGCUCCCCUUGGCUCACCACACCACUCACCUCUCCCUCACUUACCCUUACUAAAGGGUCACUCUUAUCCUCUCCUUUUUCCUGGCUAGAAGAAAAUGCCAGACUCUCCACACCCUCUCCUUUUGCCAGCUCACUAGGCUGCCUCUCCACUCCAUAGCUCACUCCACUCAAUCCUAAAAGUGUUUGUGCUACCAUGUGAUCAACUGCUGUAGAAAGAGGUAAAGUAAUUGAAGUAGCAGCAGCUGUCAACUGAUGAGAGACAUCAGUUGAAACAUUAGUAGAGGAGGAAUUCAACUGAUGAGAGCUGUUAAGCAGAUCAGUUGAAGGACAAACACUUGUCAACUGAUGAGGGAGAUCAGUUGAAGAAAAUGAAGAAAUAGGUUUAGAGGCUGUGAUAGUUGAGUCUGUGGUGAUUGAUUUUAAAGGAAAAUCCACAGAACACACUGUCACAGAAGAAGGAAAUGGAAGAGAAAGAUCCAACAAAUCAUCAAAAUGAUGAUGAUCAAUCUCAGAUGGGGGCUUCUCCAUGAAAUCCAAAGAUGGAGAAUUUACAAGUGUGGUGUGAAUUAAUUCCACAUCCACAGAAGAGGUUGGGGAUUGUGUUUGAGUAGUAGAGAUGGUAAGAUCAUAAAUAUGGGUGAUUGGUUGAGAUGAAGAAGGGGGCUGUGACUCCACAUUUAUUGGAGUCACAUCAAUCUGACUUUGAGAAGUUAAAGGCAUAAAAUCCAGAAUGGAUGCCUGUGUGUGUGCAGAGUGCUUCAGUUUUUCACUUCUUAGCUUCUUUCUCCCAUAAGCUUUUAUUGGUGAAGAAGUGGUGUCCCUCCCCCUUUUUAACUGUGUCCCUGGUUGAGGACUAUUUUCAAUAGCAACAUCCUUUUGGGAGGAUGCUGCUAGGGAUGAGUUUAAUUCCAUAUUAACAUCUACAGUCUUUUGGGAGACUGCAGAGUGGCCAGGCUGGUCAACACACAUCUCUCCAUCCUUAUUCUUAGGGCUUCUUUUAUGUUCACCUUUUCCCUCCCCCUCACAACCUCCAAUCACACUCCCCUCAGGUUUGUGUUUCUUGGAUUUUACAACAGAUGUCUUUUGGGAGGCAUCUGAGGUUGGUUUAGAAGACUUGUUUUUAGAAGGUUUUGCCACUUGUGUGGACUGUUGAUGGGCCUCUUCAACAGCCCUGAUGGCAGAAAGCAAAGAAGGUGAGGGUUGAGAAAGAGUAGUAGGAAAGCCAUGUACCUCUUUGUGCUUUCCAGCCUCCAUUGUUGGCAGGUACACCACCUCCAAGGAGGGGUAUAAAUUCAUCCUAAAGAGGUCUUUAAAGACUCUCUUUUCCUGCACAAAACUGGGAAGCUUGGCUUCCUUGUUAGUAAUAACUAGCUUAUCAUUGAGAUGAUUAGCUAGCAUCAUAAGAAAUCUGACAUAAUAAAUAUUCCUAGGUCUAUCAGUUUUAUCACCUAGUUUCUCCCCAAUUUCUUGGAUCAUCAAACCACCAAAGUUGAAAUAUUCAUUAGUCAGGUACAUGUAAAGCAUUUGUAAAAUCUGGGAAGUAAGAGCAUUGAAAUUACUAAUUUUACCAGAAAAUGCCUUAAUAAAAGCAUCACAUAAAUAACUCCAUUCUCUCCUAAGACCCCUUCUUUCUAUUUUACCUAAGGCAUCCGUUGGUAAAACAUAAUUCAUGGCAUAAAGUAAAUUAACCAACUGAACAUCACUAGGCAAAGAUAAAACAGUAUCUUCAGGAAUCUUAAAGCAUGCUUUCAUAAUAUCAGCAUUAACAGAAUGAGUUUCAUUUUUAAUAGAGAAAGUUAGAGUUUCAUUCUCACUAUUAAACUCUGCAGAGGUCCACAUCUCCUCCACUAUUUCAUGGUAGAUGAUGGGAGCUUCAGUCAUAGCAUAGGAGAGCUGGCUUGACUUGAUGAACUCCAUCAUCCUGUGAUACUCCUUCUCAUCCACAGCUUUAGUAUCCACAAAUGACGCAAAGUUGUUCUUUUCAUAGAUAAACCCACUGGUGCNNNNNNNNNNNNNNNNNNNNNNNNNNNNNNNNNNNNNNNNNNNNNNNNNNNNNNNNNNNNNNNNNNNNNNNNNNNNNNNNNNNNNNNNNNNNNNNNNNNNNNNNNNNNNNNNNNNNNNNNNNNNNNNNNNNNNNNNNNNNNNNNNNNNNNNNNNNNNNNNNNNNNNNNNNNNNNNNNNNNNNNNNNNNNNNNNNNNNNNNNNNNNNNNNNNNNNNNNNNNNNNNNNNNNNNNNNNNNNNNNNNNNNNNNNNNNNNNNNNNNNNNNNNNNNNNNNNNNNNNNNNNNNNNNNNNNNNNNNNNNNNNNNNNNNNNNNNNNNNNNNNNNNNNNNNNNNNNNNNNNNNNNNNNNNNNNNNNNNNNNNNNNNNNNNNNNNNNNNNNNNNNNNNNNNNNNNNNNNNNNNNNNNNNNNNNNNNNNNNNNNNNNNNNNNNNNNNNNNNNNNNNNNNNNNNNNNNNNNNNNNNNNNNNNNNNNNNNNNNNNNNNNNNNNNNNNNNNNNNNNNNNNNNNNNNNNNNNNNNNNNNNNNNNNNNNNNNNNNNNNNNNNNNNNNNNNNNNNNNNNNNNNNNNNNNNNNNNNNNNNNNNNNNNNNNNNNNNNNNNNNNNNNNNNNNNNNNNNNNNNNNNNNNNNNNNNNNNNNNNNNNNNNNNNNNNNNNNNNNNNNNNNNNNNNNNNNNNNNNNNNNNNNNNNNNNNNNNNNNNNNNNNNNNNNNNNNNNNNNNNNNNNNNNNNNNNNNNNNNNNNNNNNNNNNNNNNNNNNNNNNNNNNNNNNNNNNNNNNNNNNNNNNNNNNNNNNNNNNNNNNNNNNNNNNNNNNNNNNNNNNNNNNNNNNNNNNNNNNNNNNNNNNNNNNNNNNNNNNNNNNNNNNNNNNNNNNNNNNNNNNNNNNNNNNNNNNNNNNNNNNNNNNNNNNNNNNNNNNNNNNNNNNNNNNNNNNNNNNNNNNNNNNNNNNNNNNNNNNNNNNNNNNNNNNNNNNNNNNNNNNNNNNNNNNNNNNNNNNNNNNNNNNNNNNNNNNNNNNNNNNNNNNNNNNNNNNNNNNNNNNNNNNNNNNNNNNNNNNNNNNNNNNNNNNNNNNNNNNNNNNNNNNNNNNNNNNNNNNNNNNNNNNNNNNNNNNNNNNNNNNNNNNNNNNNNNAUCACUAGGACAAAGAUAAAACAGUUAUUUUCAGGAAUCUUAAAGCAUGCUUUCAUAACAUCAGCAUUAACAGAGUUAAGUUUUAUUAUUGACAGAGAAAGUUAGAGUUUCAUUCUCACUAUUAAACUCUGCAGAGGUCCACAUCUCCUCCACUAUUGCAUGGUAGAUGGUAGGAGCUUCAGUCAUUGCAUAAGAGAGCUGGCUUGACUUGAUGAACUCCAUCAUCCUGUGAUACUCCUUCUCCUCCACAGCCUUGGUAUCCACAAAUGACGCAAAGUUGUUCUUCUCAUAAAUAAACCCACUUGGUGCAGUAUACUUCUUCAUUGGUGCCAUUGCAGUUACAGAGAAAGCUUGAAGAGAAAUUAGAACUUGUUUUUGCACAGAGAGAGAAGAGAGCUUUGAGAAUUCGAAAGAGUGAGAUGAAAAGAAAUGAAAAUAAAUUAAAACACUUAAAUACUUUCUCAGAAAAUUGCUGUGAUUGGCUGAGAAAUUACCGUUGAGAAGAAAUUACUCUUAUUGAACUCUACAAAAAUUACACACACGAUCGUGUGUAUAAAGUAGGUGAGAGACAAAAGAAAUUUCAACGGCUCAGAUCUGAUAAUACUUUCAACGGAUGAAAUAAGCGCCUCUUUAAACUUCCUAUUCAACUGAUGAAGAUCAGUUGAAAGCGUCUUCAACUGGUGUCAUCAGUUGAAUGAAAAACAAAGCAAGAGGAUAUUGUUUCAAACAUCAGUUGAAACAAUUUCACUAGUUCAUCAGUUGAAAUAUUAUAGACUUUAUCCAGAAUUAUAAUUAAUUCAAUUUUGAUAAAUCAAAAUUAAUCAAAUUCUGGCUGCCAAAUUACAGAAAAAUUCACUCUAAAUUAGGAGAAAUUUAACAUACCUAAUUUACUUACCAACCUUGUGAAUGUGGAUUCAUCAAGAGGCUUUGUGAAAAUAUCUGCAAUCUGUUCUUCACUUGGAACAAAAUGCAUUUCAACAGUACCAGCCAUCACAUGUUCUCUUAUGAAGUGGUAUUUGAUGUCAAUGUGCUUGGUUCUUGAGUGUUGUACUGGAUUUUCAGUUAUAGCAAUAGCACUGGUGUUGUCACAAAAUAUUGGGAUUUUUGAGAGAUUUAAUCCAUAAUCAAGUAAUUGAUUUCUCAUCCACAAUAAUUGUGCACAACAGCUUCCAGCUGCAAUGUACUCAGCCUCAGCUGUAGAGGUUGAUACAGAAUUUUGCUUUUUGCUAAACCAAGAAAUCAAUCUGUCACCAAGAAAUUGACAGGUGCCUGUUGUACUUUUUCUAUCAAUUUUGCAUCCUGCAAAAUCAGCAUCUGAAUAUCCAAUUAGAUCAAAUCCAGAGUCUUUAGGGUACCAAAUACCAAGAUUUGGUGUUCCCUUAAGAUAUCUGAAUAUUCUUUUUAUAGCAAUAAGAUGUGAUUCUUUAGGAUCAGAUUGAAAUCUAGCACAGAGGCAUGUAGAAAACAUAAUAUCUGGUCUACUAGCUGUCAAAUAUAAAAGAGAACCAACCAUGCCUCUAUAAUUAGAGAUGUCCACAGAUUUCUCAUUAGGACUUAACUCUAAUUUGGUGGCUGUUGGCAUGGGAGUCUUAGCUUCUUUGCAAUCCAAUAAAUCAAACUUUUUAAGUAGAUCAUAGAUGUACUUAGUUUGAUUUAUGAAUAUACCUUCCUUUACUUGUUUAACUUGUAAACCAAGAAAGUAGGUGAGCUCUCCCAUCAUGCUCAUUUCAUACUGACUUUUCAUUAGAUUAGCAAACUUCUUGCAAAGUUUCUCAUCUGUAGAACCAAAAAUUAUAUCAUCUACAUAAAUUUGAACCAGAAUAAAGGCACCAUUUACAUUUCUGUAAAAUAGUGUUUUAUCCACAGUUCCUCUGGAAAAAUGAUUGUCUAACAAGAAUUGAGACAGAGUGCCAUACCAUGCCCUUGGUGCUUGCUUUAGUCCAUAGAGUGCUUUUAAUAAAAAGUAAACAUACUCUGGAAAUUCUGGAUCUUCAAAACCAGGAGGCUGACAGACAUAUACCUCCUCUUCCAGUUCACCAUUUAGAAAAGCACUCUUGACAUCCAUUUGAUAAACUUUAAAGUUUGCAUGAGCAGCAUAGGCCAGGAAGAUUCUUAUUGCUUCCAGUCUUGCAACUGGUGCAAAGGUCUCAUCAAAAUCAAUUCCUUCAGAUUGAGAGUAUCCUUUAGCAACAAGCCUUGCCUUGUUUCUGGUGACAACUCCAUUCUCAUCCACCUUGUUUUUGAAUACCCACCUUGUUCCUACAAUUGUUCUGUUUUUAGGUUUGGGAACCAGCUUCCAUACAUUGUUUCUCUCAAAUUGAUUUAAUUCUUCUUGCAUAGCAAGAACCCAAUCAGCAUCUUUGAGAGCAUCUUCUAUGACUUUAGGUUCAUCCUGUGAAAGGAAUGCACUGUACAAACACUCAUCUUGAGUUGCUCUUCUUGUUUGUACAGAUGCAUUUGCAUCUCCAAUAAUUAGUUCAAAAGGGUGAUCCCUUGUCCACUUUCUUUGUGGUGGAAGUGAUUGUCUUGAUGAUGUGGCUUCAUUAUUGAAGUUCAGGUUUCCAUGUUGGAAAGCUCCCCCUAAAUUUGACAUCUCAUUAUUUCUAGACUGAUUGAAACUUUGAGACAUUCUUUCAACUGAUGAUCCUUGAGGUGUUUCAACUGAUCCCUCCAAUGUAGUUUCAACUGAUGCUUCAGUUGAAUUUCCAAUUGCAGUGAUUUCCCAGCUUCAUCCUUAGAAUGCAGGAAGAAAGUCCAAGUGAAUUUUGAAAAAUCAUCAACAAUCACUAGGCAAUAUUUCUUCUUUGAAAUAGACAUGAUGUUGACUGGUCCAAACAAAUCCAUAUGCAAGAGCUGAAGGGGCUUUACAAUUGAUGAAAGAGUCUUGCUUUUGAAAGAGCUUCUCUUUUGCUUUCCUAGCUGACAGGCUCCACAAAGUCCAUCUUUUGAGAAUUCCAGCCUAGGUAGACCUCUUACCAAGUCCUUCUUUACUAACUCAUUCAAGGUUUUGAAAUUUAGAUGAGACAAUCUCUUAUGCCAUAGCCAACUGUCAUCUGAGCUUGCUUUGCUGAGAAGGCAAGUGAUAGAUUCAGACUUUACAGAAUUGAAGUCAGCUACAUACACAUUUCCUUUCCUUUGUCCAAUCAGAACCACAUUGUUGUCAUCUCCUUUGGUGACAACACAGGCUGCAGGAGUGAAAUUAACUUUGUAACCUUUGUCACAGAGCUGAUUGAUGCUAAGCAAGUUGUGCUUAAGACCAGACACCAAUGCAACUUCAUCAAUGAUGACAUUCUCUUUUGCAAUCAAGCCAUAUCCCAUAGUAUAUCCUUUGCUGUCAUCUCCAAAGGUAAUGCUAGGGCCAGCUUUCUCCACAAACUUUGUGAGCAGGGAGGAAUCACCAGUCAUGUGCCUGGAGCAUCCACUAUCCAAGUACCACAAAUUCUUCUUGUGGUUUCCCUGCACACAUUUCACAAACAGAUCAAGUUGAUUUUGGUACCCAAAUUGCUUUGGGUCCAGAUUUGUUAGUCUUAGCAGCCUUUUCCACUUUCUCAACCUUUUCCUUGGAUUGAAUUGGUUCAAUCUUUGGUUUUGGUUGAGAAAUUGGAACAUCAACUCUGUUUUCAAACACAGGCCUUUGAGACAUGCAUAAAUUGUUCAUUCCAUGCAAGUUUGAAUGAAAUUGAGGCAUGUUAAAGGCAUUGAAAUAAGGAUUGAACAUAUAUGGCAUGUUAGGCUGAGAAUAAGGAUUGUGAGGCAAUAAACCAGGCAUCAUAUUCAUAGCAGAUAAAUUCAUGUGAGGAACAGAUGUCAUAGGAAUAGGCAAAGAUAAAUUAGGAGCAAUCACAGUUUUACAAUUAGCAGAUAAAUGAUUUACACUACCACACUUACUGCAGGUUUUCCUAAGAGCACUAGCAUUGGGAGUGUAAUUGGUGUGCUUGUUAACUCCUAUUUUGCCAUUUCUAUUUCCUUUCUUCUUUUUAGUCUCCUCAGAUUUAUGCUCACUAGUAUCCAACUUCUUCUUGUUCUUGUUACUGGAAUUAAGAGUGUUAUUAACACUAUCACUGGUCUCAGAAGAACUAUUCUCACCUUUAACAAAAUUCUUUUUAACAGGACCAUAUUUCUUGUUAAGCUUCUUGAGAACACUCUUGUCAACUGAUGAGUUUUUGUUCAACUGAUGACUCUCAUCAGUUGAGACUUUGCUCUUCAACUGAUGAUCAUCAUCAGUAUUCUCAUCACCUGAACUGUUCUCAGAUAUCUCAAGCACUUUCUUAUUCCUCUUCCACUCAUUCUCUACAAAGGUCUCUCUACCUUGCAUGUUGAUGAUAUUGGUGGAAACAUCCCUACCAGAUUUCCAUUUGGCAAUAAUCUCUUGUUCCUUAUCAAGCUGCUUUCUUAUGAUCUCUUCUCUUUUCAGAACAACCAAGAGAUCAUCCUUGGCUGUCUGACACUCAAUUUUCAGCUUCUCAAACUCAAUAAAUUGAGCUUCUAAGACACUGUUUCUAUCACUAAGAAAGGUGUUAGCUUCCUUAAUUCUACUAUUUUCCUUAGUGAGAGAUUUUAAAGAAACAUGCAAAUGAUACAAUUCUGUAGACAUUUCAUUAAUGGUAGCAUUGCAUUCAUCUUUAGUUAACUCAACUAGGUUUGUAGUGAAUACCUGACUACUGCUUCCAGUGUUUUCUUCUUGAUCUGUGGAGUUGGCCAUUAGAGCUAGAUUGACAAACUCCUCCUCUUCAUCAGAAUCAUCUCCAGCUGCCCAAUCAUCCUUUGUGAUGAAUGCUCUUUCCUUUUGUUUGAGAAGUUCAUAAUAUUUCUUUUUGUAGUCAAUGUUUUCACUUGACUUCUUCUCAACUUUAGGCUUUCUGCACUCAUUUGCAAAGUGACCUGCAUUCCCACAGUUGAAGCACUUGAAUUUUGAUCUGUCUACCAUGCUUCUAUCAGACUUGGGAUUGCCUUUAAAAGAUUUUGCAGAAUUAAAAUUCUUUUUGAAUUUCAGUUUGGAGAAUCUUCUUGACAGGAAGGCUAGAUGUUCAUCAAUUCCAUCACUUUCUUCACCAGAAUCAGCUACUUCUUUCUCCUUUCUUCUUCCUUUGCUUGACUCUGAGCUCUCCUCUUUGACCAACUUCUCAGUUUCUUCAACUUGAGACUUUCCCUUGUCCUUGACAGUAUCCUCCAGAGAUGCAAAUAGAGCCACAGAUGAAUGCCCUUUCUUUUGGCUUUUCUCAAUCUCUUCAUCUUGCUCCAUUUCAAGCUCAUAAGUUUUUAAGGUUCCAUACAGUCUCUCUAGAGUAUAGUCUUUAAACUCUUGUGUAUUUCUGAGAGAGACUGUCAUGGGUUUCCAUUCUUUGGGAAGAGCUCUUAAGAAUUUCAAGUUUGAAUCCUUAACUUGAUAUACUCUACCAAAGAGCUUUAGACCAUUUAACAGUUUUUGAAAUCUGUUAAAUGUAUCACUCAAACUUUCACCAGCCUUGAAAUGGAAUGACUCAUAUUGUUGAAUCAGAAGCUGCAUCUUGUUCUCUCUCACUUGCUCAUUCCCUUCACAGAUGGUCCUGAUGGUGUCCCAAACUUCUUUGGCACUUGUGCAGCUAAUAACACUAUCAAUCAUUUCUUGAUCCAAACCAUUGAACAGAAGAUUCAUGGUUUUCUUGUCCUUGUGCACUUCUUCAGUAUCUUCUUGAGAAUAUUCAUGGAUAGGUUUUGGGAUCAUCUUACCUACCAUGUCUUCACCAUCAGCUCCAAUACUUGUGCAGACCUUCAUGGGGACAUGAGGUCCUUUUUCAAUACAGUUCACAUAGCUCUCAUCAAUGGACAACAGAUGCAGAUGCAUUCUCACUUUCCAGUGAAAAUAGUUGUCUUUGUCAAGAACAGGAAUCUUCACUCCAGCAUCCUUCUUUCCCAUCUUUCUCUAGCAGUGUUGAUCUUUUUCCCUGUUUGUUGGGAACCUCGCUCUGAUACCAAUUGUUAUUUUACACCAACUAUGAGAAAGAUUGUAGAAGGGGGGGGUUGAAUACAAUCUUUUACAAAUUUAAAAGAUUCAAGAAUAAUACACUAAGAACACAGUAAACAGAAAAACACCAAGUAUUAAAAAUACGGGUGGAUUGAAUGAUCCACCCGUGAGAUUUUAUAUAGAAGAAUCUGUGGAUUGUUUACAAUUCGCACAGCUGCUGGUUCAUCACUCAAACAAGUUCUAACUCUCAGAUUUUUCUCUCAAGUAAUUUGAACAAGUUCAACUGAUGCUACUAACUUGGUUAUAUACUCCAAGUUUUACAAAGCUUUUAGCUAGAUUACAAAAUGCACUCUAAUCUAAAAACAAUGCUGCACAACUUUGUCUUAUGCAUGCUUUCUGAGAUGUCUUCAUCUUUGACCAUCAUCUUGAUUUGAUCCAGAUUGCACUGCAUGAGAUAAGUAUGUUUCUGCUUCUUCUUUAUUUUCCUAAUUAGGCUUCCAUGUCUAUUUUAGUGUAAUUCGAUCCAUGUGAUUUGUCAGACUUAAGCUCUAGUCACUUUCAACUGCUCUUUGCUUCAUCAGUUGAAAGUUCUGGUUGCUUUCAACUGCUCUUGACUUUAUCAGUUGAAUGCCUGGCUCAUCAGUUGAAUGAAUUACAAACUCCAUCAGUUGAAUGCUGUUCCAGUCUCAUCAGUUAAAUUCCUCAGCAUCAUCCGUCGAACACUUUGUCUUCAGUUGAAUGCUUGAUUUUCAUCAGUUGAAACAUCAUCCAGUCUUCAUCAGUUGAACAGUUACAUCUCAUCAGUUGAAUAUCCUUCACUUAGAUAAAAUUACAUGGCAUUGGAUAUUUACAAUUAGCCAUCCUAUUCUACCCAUCCGUUGAUAAUUCCCAAAGACAAGAAAUGUAACAAUUACAACUGAAAUUUGAUAAAGAUUCUAAGUAAGACAUGUUAAAAAAUGUUUAUGUUAUCAUCAAAAAUUAUUGAUUCCUAACAGUUCCCCUGAAUUGCCUAUCACUAGGUUCAAAGCUUUAACCAUAAUACUCACAUCUUCAUCCAUGGCUUCCGUUGAUUUGACAGAUGCGAUUGAUUCAACCAAUCAGAUCAGCCACACAACUCUCUAGUCAACUAAUUGUAUGAUCGAAUGGAUCGAUUGGAUUUUCAAGGAAAUGGAUCGAAAUUCAGCUUCUUCAACAAAUUCUCAAAGGCCACAUGUUGAAAAGUAUAAGAGUAUGAGCUAUAAUUAUUGAAGCAAGGAGAGCUCAAAACUUCAAAUUAACUCUCAUUCUAUUUUUUCUUCUUCAUUCAAUAAAUACCAGAUGUCUUCUCCAGCUCAACAAUUCAUUUUCAGCAACUAUUCUACGCAACUUAAUGUCGCAUUCAUCAACAUAACACCCUCACAAGCACGCGAAAAUGGCAACCAUUCUAUUGUUGGCAUUUUCGGCAUAGCUGUUUCAGUCCUCCUCACAGCCUUGCAACUCAAGUACCAAGCAGGAACAGAUUCUGCAUUCCAAGACCACCCUAUAGCGAUGGCGAUCGCUAUAGCAAGUUUCCUUCUUUUCUGCUUGGUAUGCGACUUGGAACAAUACUUUGGCCCCACUCGUUGUAACUCAGCUUUUGCAAUAGUAUUGCAUCACUUGCUCAGAUUGCUUGGUUUCCUUUCACUAGCAUCGUUGGCCUCUGUCAUUUUUUCGACAUCCACAAGCUCGACUUCGUCACUCAUUUUUUAUAUGAUUUUCUUAUGCUUUUUUGCAGUAAGGUCGGUUUUGCAUUGGAUUCAGAAUAGAAAGUUAGAUAGAAACAGAGGAGCCUGCAAUUUUCACAGUUUAUAUUGAAAUAUAGUAUAAGAUCCAUUUGGGGCCUUCUUCUAACACCUUAAGGCUGUGUUCACUUGGAUGGAAUGGAAUGAGGGGAGAAUGGAAUGAAAAGUUAUAUAGAAGUUUUAAGGAGAAGGAAGAAAGUAUGAGAUAAUAGUGACAAAACAUGAAUGUAUUCAAAUUUCUUGUGAGAAAGAUUGUAAGAAAACAUGAUGUAGAAAUGGAAUGAGCAUUCCUUCCAAAACAUGUGGGUUAGAAUUAUAGUUAAAAUAGUAUGAAUGGAAUGAUUGAAGGAAUGAAAGUUGUAUACAUUUUCUUUGAUCAACACCAUUUUUUAGUACAAAAUUCAUUCCAUUCUCCCUUCAUUCCAUUCACUCCAAGUGAACACAACCUAAGAUUUCAGAUGGAUCGGUUUCCAACAUGGUAUCAUAGCUCUGUUAUCCACUUACACCCCCACAUUUACUAUGCAUGAAUCGGACUAUGGAAUGGAAGCACUGAAUUUGGGAUCAAGAGAAUGGAUGAUUGAAUGGUAUUUGAAUAUAUAGUUGUAGAAUAAAUUGAAGCAGAACAAAGUUGUUCUUUCACCCUGCUCAACAGGAGUUCAAAAUUGUUAUUCGAGGCUUUACUAUUACAGUCAGGGACGGAGGGAAGGGGGGUAUGGGGUGGUCUUGGUCCCCCCAAAACCUUCCCCGAGCCCUUAUAUAUAAUCAAUUUAUAUGAUUAAAAUUCAUAAUUUGUAGUAUCCCCAAAACUCAUGAUUUUGUAGUAUUUUGUCCUUAAAAUUUUUUUAGUAAAAUUUCGCCCCCCGGAAAAUAUUUCUGGUUCUGUCCCUGAUUAGAGUAAUCCUCUUAUGUUUGUGUAGAAGAGUUCAGUGUUAAAAAUCUGAAGUUUGCUUGUAUCUGUGGACUGUGGCAGUACACGCGAUAUACAGACAAUAACUUAUAUGUUAACAUACGCAUGCCAAAACACUUCUAUUUCAGUAUCCGGCAAGGCGGGCACUGAAAUGCUGAACUUUUAAACCUCUUAAACACACGUAUUGAACCAUAUCAAAUCACACUUGUUCAUCCUAUGAUGUGUACACAUAUAUGCAACCCUCAACAGCAAGGCCAAUCAUGAUGUAAAAAUAAAUGUGCGUCACACGACAUCUAUGAGAAUGAAAACAUGUCCGUGCCUGGCACGGGCUACAGUGUUAUUUACGUAACAAGACAACACAAGCGCUCCAAAUCUAACAUUGAAGGAAUAUUGAAUUGAUUUUCUAUAUUCGUUCCCUCUAAUCAGUGAUUAGAUACCCUAUUCCGUUUACUUUCAAUUUUAAUAUUUGGGACUAUAUAUUAUUUUAUUGGGAACCUUCUCGUAUUAAUAAGGUUCUACAGCACAUGCAAAAAGUGUCGUGCUUAUAUAUUAUAUCUUAAAGUUAUUUUUGAACACCCACAACGAGGUUUCCAUAGCAGAACUUUAGUGGUUCUAUGGUUCUAUUUUAAUAAUUGGUUUUCUCUUAAACGCAACCCUAUUUUACUAUUGUUAUUAUUAUGAUUACUUUUAUUAUAUAAAGGAGGACCAGUGGAGAGAUUACUGGGCAACUACACAGAUAAAGAGGCCUUCGGCGUGGAGGGUGUACAAUAAAAAAUGUCAACUUACCUAUUUAUUAUUUUCUUUUGAAGCAAAUGCAUGUUACCUAAAGCUAUUGAAUUGCAAGGAAAGAUGGUCUACAAAUGAAUAAGCCUAUAUAUCGCAACAGAUAAACUUGAAACCAAGAAAAAUUGCAGAGUUCCUGAAUCAGUAUAUUUGUAUAUUGCAAUUCACCAUGGUUAUAGGUUUUAUUAUUCGCGACAGAGACGAGGAAUGUAGUAACUAUGCACGCCUUAGAAAACCAGAAUAUGUGAGCAAGUCGCUGAUACAGAUGUGGGUUUUAAGCUACAAGACCAAUGAAGAGGGCGAAGAUUACUGCGAGCUUUCAACUCAAAAUGAACCAUUCUAUAUUGUUUCCGAUGAUGAUGAUGGAGGACUUGCAUCGUACAGGAUGCACUCGGUUACUCAUAAGAUUAUGCCGGAUGAAGUCAAUAAAGUAGAGGGUCAGAAGCAAGAAGGUGUUAUUAGCCGUGUACUGAGGAACAAAAGGCCUGAAAUGAGUCCUGACAUUUCUUGUUACUCUUUACAAGAGUACCCGCAUAGAGAUUUUGCUUUAAGUUGUGGGAUUCGAUCUUCUCUGUGUGUACCGAUAUACCAAUAUAUCUAUUCUUAUGAGUGCCCUGGUGGAGUUCUUGAAUUUGUCUCUACUUCUGCCGAUCAACUCGAAAACUUCAGGAACUCUUGCAGAUACUACGAAGCUUUUGUUUUCCGAGUAAGUAAAUUAGACUCCUUGAAACCUUUCCGGUCAGCCCCAUUAGUUAUAAGAAAAUAACACACGGAUAAUGCCCAAAUAACAUAGUUGGGAAAAAUGACCCCAAAUAUAUAUAAGUUAGUAACGAUGGAUAAUCUAGUAGGCUAGAUCGUGUAGCGCUGCGUUUUUGGUAUAUAUCGGAAACGCUGAAUGAUGUAGCGUUUUAUAGGAUAAUGAUAUUUUAGACAUUAAUGAUUAAUGAUGAAUAUUGUGAUAAUGAGGACAACACCCUAUUGAUAUAUAGCUUUUUUUUUUUCAAAAAUAAUAAUUUUAAGUAGGCUGUCGCAACUCUUAAAAGUACGGAUUAGAAUCUCCAAACAGGGUAAUUGAAAGAAUACAGUUACAUUUGAGAAUCAUUUUAGUCCCCCUAGCACUUUGGGUACCAUUCCCCUUUUUGAUCCAUAAUACUGUAUUUCUUUAUAGGCCAAAUUUCUUUUUUUCUUACAGGGAACCAAAAUGUAUUUGAUGAUCGACCAGAUAUACUGUGACCCAAGAAGGCUUGUAAGUCUUUUGAGCUGAUGAAGUUUUCUUGCAAAACGAAUUCGUUAGACGUCAGUUUAAUUAUAUAUCUACGGUUUAAUUUCAGUAUUUAAGGCGCAAUGUGGAAAUGGAUCACUUGUUAACGGUGGUGUGUCAGAAAUACCCUAUACCUCUUGCUCAGUACUGGGAGGUCAGGGAUGUUAAUGUCCGAGAUCUAGGCGUAGUGAAUCAAGAAAGCAACAUUGACUUCCCCAACGUAACUCCCUGGCUUCAAUUCAAAAACGCUUGCAAAAAUAUAGGUUUGUAUAUAGAUCAAGGCCUUGUUGGCAAGUCAUAUCUGUCCCACAAAUCCUUCCUCUGCAGGGAUAUAAAAGAAUUCAGCAUUACUACUUACCCUUUAGCACACUAUGCACCAAACUGCAGGCCAAUUCCUUGUUUUACUAUAUGCUUGUGCAGCUUUAAGCCGCGGUACAGAGAAUAUGUACUAGAACUUUUUCUACCCUCUCAGGAGAUGGAUAGUUAUGACCCUCGAACCUUGUUGAACUCUCUAAUGGAAACAAUGAAGGAACAUCUUCCGGAUUAUAUGGUUGCUUCUGGAGAAAAACUAGGACAAGUGUUAUCAGUUGAAGUCAUAAAAUCUUCUGCACAUGAUAAGCCCGAGUAUUUGAAAAUAGGUGAACCCCAGAGCUCUCUUCCUCCUCAGGAAGGGUCAAGAAAUGAAGGGAAUGCAUCCCAUCAAUUCCCUUUAAGUUUGCAUUCGUUGUUUAAAGGCGGAGCUGUGCAAGAUGGGAAUGUUCAGAACAUAGAAGAGACCGACUCAACUAUGAAUUCUUACGAAGAAAUUGCCACUGGGGAAACCUCAACAAGUAGACCCAAUAUCGUCGCAGACACCAUUCACGGUUUGUCUUUUUCACUUAUUUGUUAAGAUCAUUUAGUUUUAGUGUUUCUAACUGUGUAAUUUGUUCGGCAUUUCUUCACUAGAUUAAUAUGUAUGAAUUGUACACCUUAAUUAUCUGUACUCGACUACAUUGGCUUUGCAGCAGAUGAAAGUGUUCAAGAAUCACCUGUUAAUAAUAUUGCUUAUGCUCUCACUAAUGAAGAUGUGAACUAUGCUCUAAAUAAUAAAGAAGACAUGAACCUCGAGAAUGUUAGUAAGCAUUUCGGAAGACCACUCAAUGAUGCAGCAAAGAGCUUUGGAGGUAGGUUAUAUUCUACUGUACUUCUAUCUUUCAACUUACAUUAUUCCCAAAACAUUCAUUGCCUAAGCAUUGUUGUGUAUUUAUUUUGAUAUUGAACAUUUUAGUUAGCCGAUCCACAUUCAAGCGCAUAUGUAGAGGGCUCGGUAUCAAGAGGUGGCAAUCCGGGAAGAGAAGAAUGAAUGGUAACUUUUCAUCUAGGCUCGGAAAAGGAAUAAAUCAGGAGCAACCAGGUAGAAGAAAUUUUGGUAGUACCAGCAUGGCAGCAGUGAAUGAUACAGUUGUUGCUCAUCCUAGCCAAGACUUGAAUAAGAUGAUUGUAAAGGCAACUUACAAGGAUAUUACAAUAAGGUUUAAACUACCUGAUUUACCAGGAAUUGCAGAGUUGGAAAAUAAUGUGAUUGAGAGGCUGCACUUGGAGAGAAAUAAUUUCACCAUCAAGUAUCAAGAUGAGGACGGUGAUUUGGUUUUAAUUGCCUGUGACAAGGAUGCCCGAGAAUGUAUUGAAAUCUCAAGAUCUUUGAAGGAAACGACAAUCAAAUUGUUGCUUGAUCUGCCUCUUAAUCACAAUGCACUUUGAAAGCAUAUGAGUACUACUCUCUCCCUUUUAUUUUUUGGCUUUUCCAACAAAAAUGUGCUUAAACUUGAAGUUUUGUGACAAUUCGCUUGCUGUCUUCGUGUGGUCGCAGACUCGCAGUGUACAUCACAGUAUACAGUAUCCCUCUGUUUUUGAAAUACAAGUCACACACAUAUUGAGUUGUGAUUUGAAACCGCCUUCCAACAAUUUUGAAACGGAAAAAAAUUAAUUUUGAAACUUUCUUUCAAUACCGGAAAAUGUAGUUUUGAAACUUUCUUCUUCAAAUAAUUUCGAAACCAAAAAUGAUAAUUUUGAAACUUUCUUCGAAUACCGAAAAAGAUAGUUUUGAAAUUAUCUUUCAAUAUAUACAAAAUUAAAAAAUUAAUUUGUGAUUUUUAUAUUACAGAAAUUCUAGAAAGAUUUGAAAAAUUGAAUAAAGUUAUCGCAGUUACGCCACCCAAACGCCGUAGCUUCUGCUUUAUACAAGUAUAUUGAAGAUUGAGGGGGACAGAUGGAAUAUUAUAUAAAGGAGGACCAGUGGAGACUGGAGAGAUUACUGGGCAACUACACAGAUAAAGGCCUUCGGCGUGGAGGGUGUAUAAUUAAAAAAUGGCAACUUACCUAUUUAUUAUUUUCUUUGGAAGCAAAUGCAUGUUACCUAAAGCUAUUGAAUUGCAAGGAAAGAUGGUCUAGGAUUGAAUAAGCCUAUAUAUUGCAACAGAUAAACUCGAAACCAAGAAAAAUUGCAGAGUUCCUGAAUCAGUAUAUUUGUAUAUUGCAAUUCACCAUGGUUAUAGGUUUUAUUAUUCGCGACAGAGACAAGGAAUGUAGUAACUAUGCACGCCUUAGAAAACCAGAAUAUGUGAGCAAGUCGCUGAUACAGAUGUGGGUUUUAAGCUACAAGACCAAUGAAGAGGGCGAAGAUUACUGCGAGCUUUCAACUCAAAAUGAACCAUUCUAUAUUGUUUCCGAUGAUGAUGAUGGAGGACUUGCAUCGUACAGGAUGCACUCGGUUGCUCAUACGAUUAUGCCGGAUGAAGUCAAUGAAGUAGAGGGUCAGAAGCAAGAAGGUGUUAUUAGCCGUGUAUUCAAGAACCAAAGGCCUGAAAUGAGUCCUGACAUUUCUUGUUACUCUUUACAAGAGUACCCGCAUAGAGAUUUUGCUUUAAGUUGUGGGAUUCGAUCUUCUCUGUGUGUACCGAUUUACCAAGAUAUCUUUUCUUAUGAGUCCCCUGGUGGAGUUCUUGAAUUUGUCUCUACUUCUACCGAUCAACUCAAAAGCUUCAGGAACUAUUGCAGAUACUACGAAGCUUUUGUUUUCCGAGUAAGUAAAUUAGAUUCCUUGAAACCUUUCCGGUCAGCCCCAUUAAUUAUAAGAAAAUAACACACGGAUAAUGCCAAAAUAACAUAGUUGGGGAAAAUGACCCCAAAUAUAUAUCAGUCAGUAACGAUGGAUAAUCUAGUACGCUAGAUCGUGUAGCAUUGCGUUUUUGGUAAAUAUCGGAAACGCUGAAUGAUGUAGCGUUUUUUAGGAUAAUGAUAUUUUAGACAUUAAUGAUUAAUGAUGGAUAUUGUGAUAAUGAGGACAACACCCCAUUGAUAUACAGCUCAUUUUUUUUCAAAAAUAAUGUUUUUAAGUAGGCUGUCGCAACUCUUAAAAGUACGGAUUAGAAUAUCCAAACAGGGUAAUUGAAAGAAUACAGUUACAUUUGAGAAUCAUUUUAGUCCCCCUAGCACUUUGGGUACCAUUCCCCUUUUUGAUCCAUUAUAAUGUAGUUCUUUAUAGGCCAAAUUUCUUUUUUCCUUACAGGGAACCAAAAUGAAUUUGAUGAUCGACCAAUUAUACUGUGACCCAAGAAGGCAUGUAAGUCUUUUAAGCUGAUGAAGUUUUCUUGCAAAACGAAUUCGUUAGACGUCAGUUUAAUUAUAUAUCUACUGUUUAAUUUCAGUAUUUAAGGCGCAAUGUGGAAAUGGAUCACUUGUUAACGGUGGUGUGUCAGAAAUACCCUCUACCUCUUGCUCAGUACUGGGAGGUUGGGGACGUUAAUGUCCGAGAUCUGGGCGUAGUGAAUCAAGAAGGCAACAUUGACUUCCCCAAUGUAACUCCCUGGCUUCAAUUCAAAAACGCUUGCAAGAAUAUAGGUUUGUAUAUAGAUGAAGGCCUUGUUGGCAAGUCAUAUCUAUCCCACAAAUCCUUCCUCUGCAGGGAUAUAAAAGAAUUGAGCAUUACUAAUUACCCUUUAGCACACUAUGCACCAAACUGCAGGCCAAUUCCUUGUUUUACUAUAUGCUUGUGCAGCUUUAAGCCCUGGUAUAGAGAAUAUGUACUAGAACUUUUUCUACCUUCUCAGGAGAUGGAUAGUUAUGACCCCCGAACCUUGCUGAACUCUCUAAUGGAAACAAUGAAGGAACAUCUUCCGGAUUAUAUGGUUGCUUCCGGAGAACAACUAGGACAAGUGCUAUCAGUUGAAGUCAUAAAAUCUUCUACACAUGAUAAGCCUGAGUAUUUGAAAAUAGGUGAACCCCAGAGCUCUCUUCCUCCUCAGGAAGGAUUAAAUAAUGAAGGGGAUGCAUCCCAUCAAUUCCCUUUCGUUUUGCCUUCGUUGUUUAAAGACGGUGCUGUGCAAGAUGGGAAUGUUAUGAACAUAGAAGAGAGUAACUCAACCAUAAAUUCUUACGAAGAAAUUGCCUCUGGGGAAACCUCAACAAGUAGACCCAAUAUUGUCCCAGAGACCAUUCACGGUUUGUCUUUUUUACUUAUUUGUUAAGAUCAUUUUGUUUUAGUUUUUCUAACUUUGUGUAAUUUGUCCGACAUUUCUUCACUAGAUCAAUAUGUAUGAAAUGUACACCUUAAUUAUCUGUACUCGACUACAUUGGCUUUGCAGCAGAUGAAAGUGUUCAAGAAUCACCUCUUGAAAAUAUUGCUUAUGCUCUCACUAAUGAAGAUGUGAACUAUGCUUUAAAUAAUAAAGAAGAUAUGAACCUCGAGAAUGUUAGUAAGCAUUUCGGAAGACCACUCAAUGAUGCAGCAAAGAGCUUUGGAGGUAGGUUAUAUUCUACUGUACUUCUAUCUUUCAACUUACAUUAUUCCUAAAACAUUCAUUGCCUAAGCAUUGUUGUGUAUUCAUUUUAAUAUUAAACAUUUUAGUUAGCCGAUCCACAUUCAAGCGCAUAUGUAGAGGGCUCGGUAUCAAGAGGUGGCAAUCCGGGAAGAGAAGAAUGAAGGGUAACUUUUCAUCUAGGCUCGGAAAAGGAAUAAAUCAGGAGCAACCAGGUAGAAGAAAUUUUGGUAGUACCAGCAUGGCAGCUGUGAAUGAAACAGUUGUUGCGCAUUCUAGCCAAGACUUGAAUAAGAUGACUGUAAAGGCAACUUAUAAGGAUGUUACAAUAAGGUUUAAACUACCUGAUUUAUCAGGAAUUGCAGAGUUGGAAAAUAAUGUGAUUGAGAGGCUGCAUUUGGGGAGAAAUAAUUUCACCAUCAAGUAUCAAGAUGAGGAGGGUGAUUUGGUUUUGAUUGCUUGUGACAAGGAUGUGCGAGAAUGUAUUGAAAUCUCGAGAUCUUUGAAGGAAACGACUAUCAAAUUGUUGCUUGAUCCGCCUCUUAAUCGCAAUGCACUUUGAAAGCCUAUGAGUACUACUCAGUACUCUCUACCCUUUUAUUUUUCCCUUUCCAACAAAAAUGUGCUUAAACUUGAGUUUCUGUGACAAUUUGCUUGCUGUCUUCGUGGGGCGGAAUGUAGAUCACGAUAAUACUCCCUCCGUCCCUUUUUACAUGUCCAUGCUUUUCUUCGAGAAGUUAAAUUAACUAAUUUUUGACCAAAUAUUACAAAUUAUCUACUCAUUAUUUUUUAAGAUAUGAAAGUUGCAUAUUAAAGUAGACUAAAUAUACUUUCUAAUGAUAUAAUUUUUAUUAUUUUUCUUGAUUAUCUGACAAAAUAUAGUCAAUUUGACUAGUCAAAAGUCAAAAUGGACAUGUAAAAGGGGACGGAGGGAGUACAAUUCAUCUUGAUAUAAAGUCGAUUUUUUGGCACAUAUUUCUAAAUUUUUGACAGUAAAAUUAUUAUUUUUGAAAUUUGUUUUAUUUGAAUUAUUAAUCAUAUAUUUUAUUCAAUUUUGUUUAAAAAUUAUAAUUUUAAGUAUAAUUAAAGAUUUAGAAAUGUGUGUUUAAAAAUUCACACGCAUGAUGCACCGGUUUGUUUAGUGGAAGUUGUUUUGGCUUAUACUUUUUUUGACAUGUAAAUGAGUAGAAUCGCUUUUAGUAGAAAGAUGAGAAUACUAAUUAUUCUAUUAAAAUUUCUAUGUUUUUUCAAUUAUUUUUCUUCGCUUUAAGCAAAAAAUUAUUUUUUUUAAGCUUUCUCGUCUCUGUAUUUCAAUAAGGAGGCAGUACUUCUUUAUACCUCAGUAAUAGACGAAUUGUUAAUGCCUGUUUUCUUAAAACACUUUAUCAUUGACCGGGCAGAGAAGUUUAGUGGGUUAAAUAAUGACUAACUAUUUCAUGUCCUAAGUCCAAUUAUAAGGAAUGUGACAUAAAUUAGUGCUCCAGCAGUGUCUUAGAGGUACCUUAAAUCACUAGGAUCCUCCUUCCAUGCCUUAUUAAUAAGGCACCACUAGCCAUGCCUUAUUUGAUUUCUUUAAUAAAAAAAUCAUUUCUCUCUCUUAUUGUAACUUAUUUUCUCUCUCUUCCUUCCAUCUUUUAUCAAUCUCUUUCCAAAUUUAUUAUUAUAAUAAUAAUAAAGAAUGGAUUAUAAGGAUCAUUGUUGGAGUUGAAAUACAAAAUCUUGUCCUAAAUCACUAGAAUUCAAUAUUUUAUAAUAUUUAUAAGGAAAACACUGCUAGAGAUGCUCUAAGCUGUACAUGAAUAACUUGUUGAAACUUGGUGAACCUUUCACACAUGUCCGGGUCCACCUAUGUGGCUAUGUAUAUGCCUCGGGUCUCUCUUCUUUUUUUUUUUAAGAGUAAAUCACAUUUUGCACCUGUAACUUUGGGGUGUUUUGCGAUUUGGUCUCAUUGUUUAAAAUUUUGCAGGUUGCACUCAUAAGUUUUUAUUCUGUAACGCUUUGCACCCACUUAACAUUUUCCAUCCAAACCACCGUUAAAUCUAACAGAAGGCAGGGGCAGUUUGGGAAAACAUGGAUGCAACAGAGGGCCUUACAUUAGUUUAGCAAGCUAACCGACUUAACCUAAAUUAGAGUCCCACAGCCAAUCAAAUAUAUGAACCCUGCCAUAAUAUAUGCAACAUAUCUAACAUGUUCAAUAAUUCCAGAGACACCUUUUAUAAGAGUUUUAUAAUAUAUAUUUUAAUAUUUAUUUUAUUUUGAAUAUAAAGAUAUGUAAGAAUAAUAUGUAUUUUUUUUGUUAAAAUAAAUUUAAUUUGAACAUUUAAUAAAUGUGAAGAUGCCGAACCACGCAUUAUAAAAUUAUAUAAGAAACAAUUACGACCCUUUUAUAGACUCACAUUUAGGUAAUGUAUCAAAAAAUAGGUGCUCCAGCACUAUCAUAGUAAUUACCAAAAUCACUAAUACAUCCUCAAAUUGCGGCAGUAUCAUAAUAUUUUUCUAAACAAAUUCGUAAAUAAAUGAAUAUCUUAUUAUACUAUAUAAUAAAUAUUAUUCAAACUAAUAAUAUGUGUUCACAUUUAAAUAAAGAAACAAAUGGAUACUUUAAAUAUUUGUUAAAAUUUAUGAAAAACUGAUUCAACAUGCUAAAUGGAUGCUUUCAAAUAAGACAUGUUAAAUGGAUACUUUCUAAUAAAACAUGUUAAAUAGAUAUUUUUAUUAUAUUUAAAAAAAACAUUCUCAUCAAAUUAUAUUUAUUCUUACAUAUCCCUAUAUAUAAAAUCUAUUAAAUACAUAUAUUUAAUAAAAAUAUAUAAAACUAAACAAAUUUAUUAAAUGUUCAAAAUCUAUUUUAUCAUAUAAAGGUGUUUGAAAAUUUGAAAAUUUAACCAAUAAAAUAUAAAAACACAUAAAAUUUAGCUAACGAUCCUAUAAUUUACACUCACGUGAUAUUCGAGAAUCAUGGAAAUUUAUUUCAUUGCUGUUUGCCCCGUGGUUUGCUGUAAGAAUGGACAACCAGCGCAUACAAAUUUGACCAAUCUUUAUUUAAAUCUCAUUUUUUGAAUAAUACACAUAUCCCUCACUUAUGCAUGUUCUUUCCCAAACUAUCCCUCCUUUCCGUUAGAUUUAACAGAGGUCUGGAUGGAAAGUGUUAAGUGAGUGCAAAGCGCUACAAAUUAAAAACUUAUGAGUGCAAUCUGUAAAAUUUUAAACAAUGAGACCAAAUCGCAAAACACCCCAAAGUUACAAGUGCAAAGUGUGAUUUACUCUUUUUUUAAUCAGUAAUAGUAUAUGUAUGUCAUGUUUUAUGUUCACGUACGGUAUAAGAAAUUAGUCGUGAGAAACGUAAAUUUAGAUGAUAAAAUAAAUUUUAAUAUGUAGAUGAAUUUCGUAUACAAAACUUACAAAAUUUAUUUUUGUAAAUAAAUAUAAAUGCUACUUGAAAAUGUUGAAGGAUUUUGUAAGGACGUGAGCAAAAAUUUAUAAAGAUCCUGCAAGAAAUUCAUCAUUAGAAUAUGGUAGAAUAUUGAUUUAUAAUUCUAACAAAUUUUAUAAUGUUAAUUUUUUUUGUAAAUAGAUAUAAAAGUAUAUCUAUUUGAAAAUGUUGAAAAAUUUUCUAACGACGUGAACUAAAAUUUAUAGAGAUCCUACAAAAAACUUUCAUUAUAAUAUGAUAGAAUCUUGAUUUAUAAUUAUAACAAAUGUUAUAAUGUUUUAUAUUGAAUUUUUAAAUUUUGUAACAAAAUUUCUACCGAACUUAGUACAUUAAAAUAAUUUGAAAUUAUUUAUAAAAUUCAAAAUAACAACAAUUUAUUAAUGUCAAAACAUUAUCCAUUAUCAUAAUAAAUUUAUAUUCUUUCAUAGAAAUCAAAUCUAUUAAUAUAAAUAAAUUAUUUGCUAUAUAUGAUAAAAUAUAUAUUGUUUCCACUAUCAUUUUAUAAUAUAAAAUAUCGUAAAAUCUAAAUAUCAAAAAGAAAAUAUAGUCAAUUAGUUGGUAAUAUUUGAUAAAUUUGAAUAUAUUACCAAAGAAUUACUUGUGCAAAAAUUAUGGACACUAAAUAAUACUAAAUCAUUAAUAAAAUAAUGUUAAAUUAAAUUAUACUCACUCCGUUCCCGCAAGAAUAUCUGAUUUUUUUCCACUAUACUCAAAAGAGGUAUUUAAAAAUUAUAUAUUUCAUUUUUUCUAUUUUAUCUAGAAAUAUGGAUCCUAUACUUUUAUACAAAACAAAAAUUUUUUAAAAAUAUUAUUUAUAAGUGUCUCUCUCAAGUCCCAACCAUAUUGAGAUGGGUGCAUAAGUGUCUCAUUCUUAUCGAAAGGAUAUAAAUAAUAAAUUUUGAAUCAUAUAAUGUAUUCAUUCAGUUUCAUCUGAUUAUUUUUUUUUCUUAAGGAACUUCAUCAGAUGAUUUGAGCUACAUUUUGAAUCAUAUAAUGUAUUCAUUCAGUUUCAUCUGAUUAUUUUUUUUUCUUAAAGAACUCAUCAAAUGAUUUGAGCUACUAUACUCCCUUGGUCUCAUUUCCUUUCGCUUUUACACACAAUUCAAAUUAUAUAAAAUAAAAUUUGAUUAUUAUUUCUGAAAUUCUUUAAUUAAACAAAGAUUAUAUAUUUUUAUUUGAAAGUAUUCACAAAAUCUCUUUUAGUAUUGUAAGAAAUCAAAAAGUAUGUAAAAUGGGGUCAGAGAGAAAUAUCCCUGGUGGAGUGGUGGGUGGUUUGUCCUUUUCGUGUGUUGUUGUUUGCAUGAGCUGAACCUUUUUGAACCCUUACAUUUUUGGGUUUCAAUGAACCUCCUGAAAUAUAUUUAUUCCCUGAGGACUUUGUUAAUAGAAACCAGACAGGGACAAGCAGAUCAGAGACGCAAUACAAUAUUUUUCCGCGUAUAUAGUCCCUAAAACAAGUAGUAUAUAAAUGAAGCAAAGCUCCUGGUACUUCAAACAGAACUGCAAAUCAACUCUUCCUUCCUUUUAUUCCCCUUCCUAUUCUAUUGUUUCUAUUUUCAGAUGUCUCCUCCUCACCAAUUCAUAUUCAGCAACUAUUCUAUGCAACUCAAUGUUGCAUUCAUCAACAUAGCCCCCACACGAGCCCGAGAAAAUAAUAAUCACGCGAUUGUUGGCAUUUUGGGGAUAGCUGUUACAGUCCUCCUCAGCGCCUUGCAACUCAAGUACCAAUCAGGAACCGAUUCUGCAUUCCAGGAUCACCCGAGAGCCAUGGUUUUCGCUAUAGCUAGUUUCCUUGCUUUCUGCUUGGUUUGCGACUUGGAACAAUACUUUCGCUCUACUCAUAAUACUGCAGCUUUUGCAACAGUACUGCACCACAUCCUCAGAUUGUCUGGUUUCGUUUCACUUGCAUCUUUAGCCUUCGUCAUUUUCUCGCCAUCCACAAGCUCAGGGACGUCGCUCAUUGUUUAUCUGAUUUUCCCUGGGUUUUUUUCAGCAAGGUCGGUUCUACACUGGAUCCAGAAUAGAAAGUUACGUGGAAACAGAGGAGCCUGCAAUUUUGAUAAUUCACACCCGAACUUUGUGGAUAGUGACUAUUUGAACUACAUAGAUACUCUUCCAGUGUACCGCAGAGCUCCUGCGAAUCUUGUUUAGUCACUUCUGGUUCCCUAGUUGUUUUUGGUUUACAAUUCAGCAUGUCACGUUAAAUGAGGGGGCUUUUGGUUCGUGAUUAAUGAGCUCGGUUAACAAGAAUCAGAACCUCAAACCCAUGUGUUGGUAUUUGGGUUAACCAUUUUGUGGUAUGGAAUUUUUGAGUUGUAGGCUUUGUCAAGUUGUAAUUACUUUGAUUAACUGAUACAAAUCUUUAGCAGUGCAGCGAAAUUGAAGAUCACAUAAACCACAAAUAUCAAAGUCUUAAUUAGUUACUUCCUCCGUCCAGGUCAUUAGUUAACAAAUGGGCUGGACACGGCGACCAAACACUGAAUAAAUAAUGUAGAAACAUGCUGAGUGAAUAUAAUUAAAAACAACAAAAGUGAGAAUAAUGGUGGGAUCCAUCGACAAGCAAGUCGUCGCACAAAUAUGCAAUGAUCGUGAGAUUUCAUUACAUUUCCGACGUCCUUAACCAUGUACUUCUAUUGUUUAUGAUGAUUGAUCGGAGGAUCAACCAACAGCGUGAUUGAUGUUCUCUUUAAUGACCGUGAGAUUUCGAUGCAUUUCCGCACGUCCUUGUCACAAGCGAUCAAUAUCCAAAUGACCUCAUCAUCUUGGUACUUGAUACUGAAACUCUCCCUCUCCAAGUGCAACCUCUCGAUCACAUUAUUUUCUAGCUCUGCAAUCCCUGAUGAAUCAGAUAAAUCAAACCUUAUAGUCACACCAUUGUACAUUGCCCUUACAGUCACCUCAUUCAAGGUUUGGCUUAUAUGAUCAACAGCAGGUGCUUUUUCUCCGGGAGGCAAACCCGAAUGAAAGUUUUUUUCAGCUUGUUCAUCGUCCCUUGAUCUUCUCCUAAGAUUAGAUGACAUGUUUCCUUUUAUGCUUUGCUUGCCUCGUCGCCAGUCUUUAAUACCAAGACCUCUACACUUGCGUUUGAGUGUCGAUCGACUAACUAACAUAUUGAACUAGGGGUGUACACGGAUCGGUGAAACCGACCGAACCAACCCAAACCGAUCAUAUUUCACCCGAACCAAUCCGAUCUUUUUUUACCCGAUAGAUAAUUGGAUUUAAAAAUGAGUAACCCGAUUUAAUUGGGUUGAACAUUCUAAAUAAGAUGCACAGCUAUAAUAAUGUUUCAAUAGUAGAUAACUUUUUUGUUUCUGAACAAUGUAAGCUGAAAGAAGUGCAAGAACAUGAAAGAGCAACACCUACCACCAAAGCUCUUUGCUGCAUCUUCUAAUGGUCUUCCGAAAAGCUCACUAAUAAGUAACCAAAUUAAACAAAAACCAACUUCUGCUUAUGGUAUGAGCUGACAAGCUGUUAUAUAGUCGGAAAAGUAGCAUAAUCUAUAUAUUGGUAUCAUCACAAAAAAAAUGUUUCGCUUGACUGAUGUUGAAACAUACCUUCCACCAUUGCAUUUGACACGCAGCAUUCAAGUGCGUGCAAUAUUAUGAGAAAGGAUAAAAUCAUGUGCUGCCUCUUUAGUGUUAAAAUUAAAUUAUUCCAUGACUUGCAAUUAUGGAAAGAUGACAAGUAGCUUGACAUCUCCAAAGAUUGAACUGAUAAGAGAGUCAAUUAGAUUAUCGUCAUACAAAAUCAAGUAAAACACACCACUGUUCAGAAUUACAUUAUUUAUUUUAUCUGCACAUUUUUCGUAGGUUUUGUAAUCACCCAGCUGAUGAUUGCAUCCACCAUCUGCUUUUCAACCACUAGACUAAUUUACAGGAAAUAAAUUAUAAAUCAUAUAUUUGGGUCCUCAAGUAGUAAAUCAAAAAUACUGAACAGGGAACAUAACAUACUAGAAAUGUUUAUAAAUAUCAUUCUGUAGACCGAAACAAGGCUUGUAAUACCUUGGUUUUCCACUGCAACACGGUCUUGGUGCAUUAUAGCAUCCCAAUCAAGUUCCACAUUUGGAUAAUGUUGGAAGGCAUGAGCUCCACCUUGGGAUUGAAAUAUGUCAGAUUCUUCCUUGUUACUCUGCAAACUGCCCAAACCACCCGAACACGACACACUGCCAGAAUCCUUAGCAUCCGACCAACCUUUGAAAAGCUUUUCAAAUGUUGAUAAAGGACAGUCAGGAGACAUUAAUUCACCUUUAGAACUACAAUUGGGGAAAUUAAGCUUAGCAUUUCGACCUCUUAACCUAAAUGCCGCAUGAUCAAACGCCAAAGCAGCUUCCUCUUCCGUGUCAUAGGUGUCAAGACAGACAUCACGAAUCUUGGCUACCCAUGGGCCCCCAAAGUACUCACUCCUAGUCCUACUCACACCCAUGUAUCUGCUAUUUCGUGCAGAGCUUGUCAACGUUGGU